Molecule: non-coding RNA, 1709 nt
Organism: Anas platyrhynchos (mallard)
Lineage: Eukaryota; Metazoa; Chordata; Aves; Anseriformes; Anatidae
Source: RefSeq, a predicted model, not a curated record
UGUGAUGCUGGAGCAGGGUUGGUGUUACCAGCAGGAGGACACAUUUGAAAAUCACAGCUCCUGAAGGGCUUCAUUCAUUUCCUGAAGGCUUGAGACUGUUUCCAGCACUGUGACCUUAUGUCCCAGGAAAGUGAGGGCUCUGGUUCCCAAGCCCUAGUGACUCACCCCGGAGAAGUUGAAGAAACUGCUGUCUUCAACCCGCCUUGCUGAGGUGCCGCAGGGAGUUAACCCAAAGAAGAGGUGGCUGGACAAAUGGUGUGUCCACUGCUAACCGUUUCAGCUCAUAGCCUGAUGCACCAAUGUAAACCACCACUGCUACCACUUUACUCCGAUAUCCUGGACCGAGAAAUGCAGAAAGGAGUGAUUUAAUCCAGGAUCAUAUCAACAUAUAUCACUGUGGAGAAUAAGGAGUUUAUUGCCCGCAGCUGGGGAGAUGGGUUACCUUGCCAGCUAGGGCAGCUAAAUCCAACAGAGUCUGUUAGUCAGAGCUGUCAGACGGGAGAGAACGGGCCAGAACAGACAGCACUCACCAAGCAGCUGUAAAACAAGUAGUGUAGUGCUUUUAAGAGAAAAGAUGUUCUUCCGAUGUCCUGCUAGCACAGGACAAGGAAAUGGCAAGUUUGCUGUGUACAUCACACCUUUCUGGUUGAAUGUCACUUUGGACAGAGCUUCUGAGACUCUGCUGGAUGCCUGCAUAAGGGUAAUAACUGCAUUUCCUUACUUCACCUAGAUAUUGUGAGAAUAAAUGCAUUUAGCAGUGUAAUUACCAGAUGCUACAGAGGUGAGGCACCUUCAAUAGCUUUCUUUCAGUUCUUUUGUUUCUUUAAAGAUAUGGGUAAAAAGACAUGGGCAUUUGAUCAAAGCCAGAAUUUGCUUUCCCAGACUGUUCUAGUUUAUGGUUACGUUGUGCAGGGGAGCAGGGGCAGAAAGACAGCAACUUGCAUCCAUGCUUCAUGUGUCCAGCAUGCGUGAUGACCUCCCUGGGAGCCUGCAGUGCUUCACACGGCGCAAGGGACAAGGAAAGGACAGGAAUUACUGCGUUCAAGGAUUCGUCCCUUCCUCAUGCAGGUCUGCACAGCUAGCUAGCUGCAUGCGGGAGUACACCGUGCUCUUUAACCCUAUCAGCGAGCAUUUGGGUUUGUAACGCUGAAAACGCUUGGGAAAGUCACGUGCGUUUUAGCCACAUGGAUACGCUUCCUGCAUCCUACUCUGUAGCAUCAGACUGCAACUCUGACAAUGAUGGAGCAUUCGUAGUUGUGGAAAGUGUAAGCAAUUAUAAGCGUAUUAAUUAUACGCAUAAUGACUUUUAAAAUUGUAUUUAAUAAAUACUUUAAUAAAUACCUUGUGUUUCAGAUAUAGAACUGUUUUCUGUUAGUCAGAAAACCAAUGUCUAAAGCCGCUAGAAGAAAGAGCCAGAAUUGCCAGCUGAAUAUCAUGAAUGAAAAAACAUUCACCACUGUGACCAGGGCCAACAUAUUUCCCAGUGGCAGCUCCCUGUCUUCCCCUAAUUCCCCCCUCCCUUUCCCCUCCCUCCUCAGAUGCACACGCAGGCACUAUGGGAGGAAUGACAGCUGUUCUUCAUGGAAUGACAGCCCAGGGAUAUUGCAUCCUCCCUUAAAAAAAAAAAAAAAAGACAGGCAAGGUACAGAAUAAGGUCAGUGAAGGGAGACAAAGGGGUCUCCCAGAGAUGGCAAAGGGUAAUUUAUUGA